CCUACGGGUCGCAGCAGUGGGGAAUAUUGCACAAUGGGCGCAAGCCUGAUGCAGCCAUGCCGCGUGUAUGAAGAAGGCCUUCGGGUUGUAAAGUACUUUCAGCGGGGAGGAAGGCGAUAAGGUUAAUAACCUUGUCGAUUGACGUUACCCGCAGAAGAAGGACCGGCUAACUCCGCGCCAGCAGCCGCGGUAAUACGGAGGGUGCAAUCGUUAAUCGGAAUUACUGGGCGUAAAGCGCACGCAGGCGGUCUGUCAAGUCGGAUGUGAAAUCCCCGGGCUCAACCUGGGAACUGCAUUCGAAACUGGCAGGCUAGAGUCUUGUAGAGGGGGGUAGAAUUCCUGGUGUAGCGGUGAAAUGCGUAGAGAUCUGGAGGAAUACCGGUGGCGAAGGCGGCCCCCUGGACAAAGACUGACGCUCAGGUGCGAAAGCGUGGGGAGCAGACAGGAUUAGAUACCCGAGUAGUC
This 465-nucleotide ribosomal RNA is filed under the name uncultured bacterium. Its description in RNAcentral is "bacterial SSU rRNA". It matches the Rfam family "Bacterial small subunit ribosomal RNA", at positions 338 to 795 of the family's 1533-position model. The record is from RNAcentral.